GGUGUAGUGGUCAAGCAUGCAGGCCUUUGGAGCCUGCGACGGCGGUUCGAAUCCGCCCG
This 59-nucleotide transfer RNA is filed under the name Nitrososphaerota archaeon. RNAcentral's name for it is "Thaumarchaeota archaeon tRNA-Gln". It matches the Rfam family "tRNA", at positions 9 to 63 of the family's 71-position model. From Rfam's summary of the family: Transfer RNA (tRNA) molecules are approximately 80 nucleotides in length. Their secondary structure includes four short double-helical elements and three loops (D, anti-codon, and T loops). The record is from RNAcentral. Lineage: Archaea; Thermoproteati; Nitrososphaerota.